GGUCCUGAGGGCAAUCCCAGGGCAGCCCAUCUCAAUACCAUGGCUAGACAUCUUUUCCUCCCUCGUGGUUCCAUGUGUGUCCCUCAGGAAGCCGUGGUGCUCAGUCCAAGAGGACAACCUUCCCUGAGCAGAGAAGGCUGGGUCUUGGUCCAAGGCUCCUCUGCUAGAACCUCCCAAGCUCUCAAGGCUUGUUCACAUUUCUAACACCACCACUUAUCUGUUGCCCAGGCAACAGUGGACU
RNAcentral lists this small nuclear RNA (241 nucleotides) under Microtus ochrogaster (prairie vole). RNAcentral describes it as "7SK RNA (ENSMOCG00000006109.1)". It matches the Rfam family "7SK RNA". From Rfam's summary of the family: 7SK was discovered as an abundant small nuclear RNA in the mid-70s but a possible function has only recently been suggested. Two independent studies have found that 7SK RNA binds the CDK9/cyclin T complex (known as elongation factor P-TEFb). Lineage: Eukaryota; Metazoa; Chordata; Mammalia; Rodentia; Cricetidae. The record is from RNAcentral.